Molecule: ribosomal RNA, 254 nt
Filed under: uncultured bacterium
Lineage: Bacteria
Description: partial 16S ribosomal RNA
Rfam family: Bacterial small subunit ribosomal RNA
Source: RNAcentral
UACGAAAGGGGCUAGCGUUGCUCGGAAUUACUGGGCGUAAAGCGCACGUAGGCGGAUCUUUAAGUCAGGGGUGAAAUCCUGGAGCUCAACUCCAGAACUGCCUUUGAUACUGAGGACCUUGAGUUCGGGAGAGGUGAGUGGAACUGCGAGUGUAGAGGUGAAAUUCGUAGAUAUUCGCAAGAACACCAGUGGCGAAGGCGGCUCACUGGCCCGAUACUGACGCUGAGGUGCGAAAGCGUGGGGAGCAAAGCAGG